Molecule: ribosomal RNA, 279 nt
Filed under: uncultured bacterium
Lineage: Bacteria
Description: partial 16S ribosomal RNA
Rfam family: Bacterial small subunit ribosomal RNA
Source: RNAcentral
UGCCAGCCGCCGCGGUAAUACGGAGGGGGCUAGCGUUGUUCGGAAUUACUGGGCGUAAAGGGCGCGUAGGCGGUCGAUCAAGUUAGGCGUGAAAGCCCUAGGCUUAACCUAGGAACUGCGCUUAAUACUGGUUGACUAGAGUUCGGUAGAGGGAAGUGGAAUUCCUAGUGUAGAGGUGAAAUUCGUAGAUAUUAGGAAGAACACCAGUGGCGAAGGCGGCUAACUGGCUCGGUACUGACGCUGAGAUGCGAAAGCGUGGGGAGCAAACAGGAUUAGAUA